Molecule: ribosomal RNA, 253 nt
Filed under: uncultured bacterium
Lineage: Bacteria
Description: partial 16S ribosomal RNA
Rfam family: Bacterial small subunit ribosomal RNA
Source: RNAcentral
CACGUAGGGGACGAGCGUUGUCCGGAUUCAUUGGGCGUAAAGCGCGCGUAGGCGGCUCGGAAAGUCGGUCGUGAAAUGCCGGGGCUCAACCCCGGGACUGCGUCCGAUACUCUCGAGCUGGAGGCAGGUAGGGGAGAUCGGAAUUCCUGGUGUAGCGGUGAAAUGCGUAGAUAUCGGGAGGAACACCAGUGGCGAAGGCGGCUUCCUGGCCUGUUCUUGACGCUGAGGCGCGAAAGCUAGGGGAGCAAACGGG